Molecule: long non-coding RNA, 546 nt
Organism: Lepus europaeus (European hare)
Lineage: Eukaryota; Metazoa; Chordata; Mammalia; Lagomorpha; Leporidae
Exons: 3
Source: RefSeq, a predicted model, not a curated record
UCUCACAGCAGGAGUUUUGAUCGCUGUGUGGACUGCGGGUUAGAAAACUCUGACUCCGAGCUGCAUCAAGCCUAACGCUGUCCAGACCCUGCCGAGGACGGACACGAGGAUGAGCACCGAAGCCGACUGAGCUGACCCGACCACGUUAAGGCUGCGAGAACGGGAGGAUUCCGUAAAAAGCACACUAAGACUGUUACGUGCAUGACCUAAUAAAAUGAAGCUGCACUGAAUGGAAAGGUGUACUGGCUGGCUGUUCAAGCUAUGAAGCACCUACAAGCAAGUCAAGACUUGAUCUGCAAAACAAUCAGCACAAGCAAUUUCCCCCUCUCUGCUAUGACCUGGGAAAGCAGUAGAAGAUGGCUCAAGUCCUUGGGUCCCUGCACCCAUGGAGGAUACCCAGAAGAAGCUCCUAGCCCCUGGCUUCCAAUUGACUCAGCUCCGGCCUUUGCAACCAUGCAGCCAUUUCAGGAGUGAACCAGCGGAUGGAAGACAUUUUUUGUCUCUCUUACUGUCUACCUUUGAAAUAAAUACAUGAAAUCUUUUUUU